GCCUUUGUGGUGUAGUGGUCAGCAUACUGGAUGUGUAACCGAGAGGUCCGUGGUUCGAUUCCCGGCGAAGGUG
RNAcentral lists this transfer RNA (73 nucleotides) under Stegodyphus mimosarum. It matches the Rfam family "tRNA". From Rfam's summary of the family: Transfer RNA (tRNA) molecules are approximately 80 nucleotides in length. Their secondary structure includes four short double-helical elements and three loops (D, anti-codon, and T loops). The record is from Rfam by way of RNAcentral. Lineage: Eukaryota; Metazoa; Arthropoda; Arachnida; Araneae; Eresidae.